UGAGGCAGGAGAAUUGCUUGAACCCAGGAGGUGGAGGUUGCAGCAAGCCAAGAUUGCGCCACUGCACUCCAGCCUGGGCGACAAAGCAAGAUUCUGUCUU
RNAcentral lists this microRNA precursor (100 nucleotides) under Aotus nancymaae (Ma's night monkey). Its description in RNAcentral is "miRNA (ENSANAG00000002023.1)". The record is from RNAcentral. Lineage: Eukaryota; Metazoa; Chordata; Mammalia; Primates; Aotidae.